Molecule: ribosomal RNA, 634 nt
Filed under: Irpex lacteus
Lineage: Eukaryota; Fungi; Basidiomycota; Agaricomycetes; Polyporales; Irpicaceae
Description: eukaryotic LSU rRNA
Rfam family: 5.8S ribosomal RNA (bases 230-383)
Source: RNAcentral
AAGGAUCAUUAUCGAGUUUUGAACGGGUUGUAGCUGGCCUCUCACGAGGCAUGUGCACGCCUGGCUCAUCCACUCUUAACCUCUGUGCACUUUAUGUAAGAGAAAAAAAUGGUGGAAGCUUCCAGGAUCUCGCGAGAGGUCUUCGGUUGAACAAGCCGUUUUUCUUUCUUAUGUUUUACUACAAACGCUUCAGUCUAGAAUGUCAACUGUGUAUAACACAUUUAUAUACAACUUUCAGCAACGGAUCUCUUGGCUCUCGCAUCGAUGAAGAACGCAGCGAAAUGCGAUAAGUAAUGUGAAUUGCAGAAUUCAGUGAAUCAUCGAAUCUUUGAACGCACCUUGCACUCCUUGGUAUUCCGAGGAGUAUGCCUGUUUGAGUCUCAUGGUAUUCUCAACCCCUAAAUUUUUGUAAUGAAGGUUUAGCGGGCUUGGACUUGGAGGUUGUGUCGGCCCUUGUCGGUCGACUCCUCUGAAAUGCAUUAGCGUGAAUCUUACGGAUCGCCUUCAGUGUGAUAAUUAUCUGCGCUGUGGUGUUGAAGUAUUUAUGGUGUUCAUGCUUCGAACCGUCUCCUUGCCGAGACAAUCAUUUGACAAUCUGAGCUCAAAUCAGGUAGGACUACCCGCUGAACUUAAG